RNAcentral lists this unclassified non-coding RNA (389 nucleotides) under Bombus terrestris (buff-tailed bumblebee). Its description in RNAcentral is "misc RNA ENSBTSG00005024152.1". Lineage: Eukaryota; Metazoa; Arthropoda; Insecta; Hymenoptera; Apidae. The record is from RNAcentral.
UGUCGGCGAUGGUGGUGGUGGUGAUGGAGGAAAGAGUAGGAGGAAGAAGAGAAGGGUAGUGGUGGAGAGGCGAAGGUGGAGGUGGAGCGAGGAUACCCUCGUCGUGUGUGACGAGUCAAAGACGAACGGGAGAGUCAAUGUGCUUUUGCCUUCGCACACCGACAGAGGGGAAGAGUUUUCGUAGGGUUAAGGGGAAGGGGAAAGCAGGAGAAGUUACACACUAUAGAGAGAACCGGCACGAAAGGCACUACUCCGCAGCUGAGCUACUACUGGAUCCAGAGAUGCGCCCCUUAGCCCGCGCAUCUGCCGCGUGGAAAUGAAGGUAAAAAGGAGCGGAUGAGAAAGAAGGGGCGAGGAAUCAUUCUAAAUCAUCGAAGGGGUUAAAGAAG